RNAcentral lists this long non-coding RNA (473 nucleotides) under Elaeis guineensis (African oil palm). RNAcentral describes it as "long non-coding RNA (EGUI_LNC030995)". The record is from RNAcentral. Lineage: Eukaryota; Viridiplantae; Streptophyta; Magnoliopsida; Arecales; Arecaceae.
GUACUUUUGUUUAUUAGCAACGGCAAAGCCAUCACUAUAACUCUUAAAUUUUAAAUAUUUAUUUUCUUAAUAUAAAUUAGUUAUUAAUAAUGGCUUUAGCGAAGUAGCUUUAGCCGUUGCUAAUAUAGAGCCCUAAAAUUCCCUCCAUUCCCGAUCGAAUUUUUUUUACUACGCGCCCGCAUCCCCAUUCUUCCCCUACCUUCAGUCCACUUGCUUCCGCCACCGUACCAUCGAAGCCCCCAUCCCCAUGCUCUAGUCCAUGCGCAUGCCGCUAUCCCAACAUUGGAUCUGUGGGCUCCAUGUCGGAUCAGACGUCCUCGUGCCCCCACCACUCCCUUCUUCUCUGCCUCCCCCAUUCUUCCCAUCGAAAGCCUACUGGAGCUCCCAUCCCCGUGCCCCAGUCCCUGUGCCACCAUCUCCGCAUUGGAUCUACCAUCCUCCACAUCAAAUCUGCCAUCCCCGUCAUCCCCAGU